GAUGAACGCUGGCGGCGUGCCUAAUACAUGCAAGUCGAGCGGACGGACGAGGCUUUUUCUUCUCUGAAGUGAGCGGCGGACGGGUGAUUCCCACGAGUCUACCCGGCCUUGGAGGAUGACGUCAGGACAGGAACGCGGAUCUAGUAUCCGAUCAUAUUGUGAACCUGAUGGUUCAUCGGACAACACCCUACUUGAUGUGCCUAGGUGGCAUUAGCUAGUUGGUUUGGUAAAGGGGUACCAAGGCGACGAUCCGUAGCUGACCUGAGAGGAUGAUCGGCCACACUGGAACUGAGACACGGUCCAGACUCCUACGGGAGGCAGCAGUAGGGAAUCUUCGGCAAUGGGCGAAAGCCUGACGCAGCCACGCCGCGUGAGUGAUGAAGGUCUUCGGAUCGUAAAACUCUGUUAGUAGGGAGGAACAGAUGUGUAAGUAACUGUGCCCAUCUUGACGGUACCUAAUCAGAAAGCAACGGCUAACUACGUG
RNAcentral lists this ribosomal RNA (484 nucleotides) under uncultured bacterium. RNAcentral describes it as "partial 16S ribosomal RNA". It matches the Rfam family "Bacterial small subunit ribosomal RNA", at positions 28 to 507 of the family's 1533-position model. The record is from RNAcentral.